This 460-nucleotide ribosomal RNA is filed under the name uncultured bacterium. RNAcentral's name for it is "partial 16S ribosomal RNA". It matches the Rfam family "Bacterial small subunit ribosomal RNA", at positions 338 to 795 of the family's 1533-position model. The record is from RNAcentral.
CCUACGGGUGGCAGCAGUGAGGAAUAUUGGUCAAUGGCCGGAAGGCUGAACCAGCCAAGCCGCGUGAAGGACGAAGGUGCCAAGCAUUGUAAACUUCUUUUGUCAAGGGAUAAAAUCAGGCUCGUGAGCCUGACCGAGGGUACUUUAAGAAAAAGCAUCGGCUAACUCCGUGCCAGCAGCCGCGGUAAUACGGAGGAUGCGAGCGUUAUCCGGAUUUAUUGGGUUUAAAGGGUGCGUAGGCGGACUGUUAAGUCAGGGGUAAAAUGCCCGGGCUCAACCCGGGCGGUGCCUUUAAAACUGGCGGUCUGGAGAUGUGGGGAGGUAUGCGGAAUGCGCGGUGUAGCGGUGAAAUGCUUAGAGAUGGCGCAGAACACCGAUUGCGAAGGCAGCUUACCGAAGGCGAUCUGACGCUGAGGCACGAAAGCGUGGGUAUCGAACAGGAUUAGAUACCCUAGUAGUC